This 305-nucleotide ribosomal RNA is filed under the name uncultured bacterium. RNAcentral's name for it is "bacterial SSU rRNA". It matches the Rfam family "Bacterial small subunit ribosomal RNA", at positions 333 to 635 of the family's 1533-position model. The record is from RNAcentral.
UAAAGCCUACGGGGGGCAGCAGUGAGGAAUAUUGGUCAAUGGGCUUACGCCUGAACCAGCCAAGUCGCGUGAGGGAAGACUGCCCUAUGGGUUGUAAACCUCUUUUGUCAGGGAGCAACGCCGGCUACGUGUAGCCGGACUGAGAGUACCUGAAGAAAAAGCAUCGGCUAACUCCGUGCCAGCAGCCGCGGUAAUACGGAGGAUGCGAGCGUUAUCCGGAUUUAUUGGGAUUAAAGGGUGAGUAGGCGGAAUGCCAAGUCAGCGGUAAAAUCGCGGGGAUCAACGUCGCUCCGCCGUUGCAACUG